GGCGAACGCUGGCGGCGUGCUUAACACAUGCAAGUCGAACGGAAAGGCCCUGCUUUUGUGGGGUGCUCGAGUGGCGAACGGGUGAGUAACACGUGAGUAACCUGCCCUUGACUUUGGGAUAACUUCAGGAAACUGGGGCUAAUACCGGAUAGGAGCUCCUGCUGCAUGGUGGGGGUUGGAAAGUUUCGGCGGUUGGGGAUGGACUCGCGGCUUAUCAGCUUGUUGGUGGGGUAGUGGCUUACCAAGGCUUUGACGGGUAGCCGGCCUGAGAGGGUGACCGGCCACAUUGGGACUGAGAUACGGCCCAGACUCCUACGGGAGGCAGCAGUGGGGAAUAUUGCACAAUGGGCGGAAGCCUGAUGCAGCAACGCCGCGUGCGGGAUGACGGCCUUCGGGUUGUAAACCGCUUUCGCCUGUGACGAAGCGUGAGUGACGGUAAUGGGUAAAGAAGCACCGGCUAACUACGUGCCAGCAGCCGCGGUGAUACGUAGGGUGCGAGCGUUGUCCGGAUUUAUUGGGCGUAAAGGGCUCGUAGGUGGUUGAUCGCGUCGGAAGUGUAAUCUUGGGGCUUAACCCUGAGCGUGCUUUCGAUACGGGUUGACUUGAGGAAGGUAGGGGAGAAUGGAAUUCCUGGUGGAGCGGUGGAAUGCGCAGAUAUCAGGAGGAACACCAGUGGCGAAGGCGGUUCUCUGGGCCUUUCCUGACGCUGAGGAGCGAAAGCGUGGGGAGCGAACAGGCUUAGAUACCCUGGUAGUCCACGCUGUAAACGGUGGGUACUAGGUGUGGGGUCCAUUCCACGGGUUCCGUGCCGUAGCUAACGCUUUAAGUACCCCGCCUGGGGAGUACGGCCGCAAGGCUAAAACUCAAAGGAAUUGACGGGGCCCCGCACAAGCGGCGGAGCAUGCGGAUUAAUUCGAUGCAACGCGUAGAACCUUACCUGGGUUUGACAUGGAUCGGGAGUGCUCAGAGAUGGGUGUGCCUCUUUUGGGGUCGGUUCACAGGUGGUGCAUGGCUGUCGUCAGCUCGUGUCGUGAGAUGUUGGGUUAAGUCCCGCAACGAGCGCAACCCUUGUUCACUGUUGCCAGCACGUUAUGGUGGGGACUCAGUGGAGACCGCCGGGGUCAACUCGGAGGAAGGUGGGGAUGACGUCAAGUCAUCAUGCCCCUUAUGUCCAGGGCUUCACGCAUGCUACAAUGGCUGGUACAGAGAGUGGCGAGCCUGUGAGGGUGAGCGAAUCUCGGAAAGCCGGUCUCAGUUCGGAUUGGGGUCUGCAACUCGACCUCAUGAAGUCGGAGUCGCUAGCAAUCGCAGAUCAGCAACGCUGCGGUGAAUACGUUCCCGGGGCU
RNAcentral lists this ribosomal RNA (1346 nucleotides) under uncultured bacterium. RNAcentral describes it as "partial 16S ribosomal RNA". It matches the Rfam family "Bacterial small subunit ribosomal RNA", at positions 28 to 1381 of the family's 1533-position model. The record is from RNAcentral.